This 471-nucleotide ribosomal RNA is filed under the name uncultured Pseudoalteromonas sp. RNAcentral's name for it is "bacterial SSU rRNA". It matches the Rfam family "Bacterial small subunit ribosomal RNA", at positions 97 to 570 of the family's 1533-position model. Lineage: Bacteria; Pseudomonadati; Pseudomonadota; Gammaproteobacteria; Alteromonadales; Pseudoalteromonadaceae. The record is from RNAcentral.
GGCGGACGGGUGAGUAAUGCUUGGGAACAUGCCUUGAGGUGGGGGACAACAGUUGGAAACGACUGCUAAUACCGCAUAAUGUCUACGGACCAAAGGGGGCUUCGGCUCUCGCCUUUAGAUUGGCCCAAGUGGGAUUAGCUAGUUGGUGAGGUAAUGGCUCACCAAGGCGACGAUCCCUAGCUGGUUUGAGAGGAUGAUCAGCCACACUGGGACUGAGACACGGCCCAGACUCCUACGGGAGGCAGCAGUGGGGAGUAUUGCACAAUGGGCGCAAGCCUGAUGCAGCCAUGCCGCGUGUGUGAAGAAGGCCUUCGGGUUGUAAAGCACUUUCAGUCAGGAGGAAAGGUUAGUAGUUAAUACCUGCUAGCUGUGACGUUACUGACAGAAGAAGCACCGGCUAACUCCGUGCCAGCAGCCGCGGUAAUACGGAGGGUGCGAGCGUUAAUCGGAAUUACUGGGCGUAAAGCGUAC